This is a long non-coding RNA of Cyprinodon variegatus (sheepshead minnow), 1318 nucleotides long. RefSeq lists it as uncharacterized. Lineage: Eukaryota; Metazoa; Chordata; Actinopteri; Cyprinodontiformes; Cyprinodontidae. The record is from RefSeq and is a predicted model, not a curated record. The transcript has 3 exons.
UGACCUGAAAACCAGCUUUCAUUUGGACACGCCUACUUUGGUCACUUCCUGAUCAGACGUGACAUCACUUCCUGUGAAUCCAGACACCUUCAUCAGGGGUUCUACUCAGAUAUCAGUCAGAGACGCGUCACUCGGACAGAAAAGACUCUCUGUCCAUUUUUCUAGCUUUGGUGGCCUUCUAAGAUGGUCUGAUGGAGCUGCUGUGACCCAGGGUCACCACUGAUCUGGAAACUUCUUCUUCACACAUUUCCAGCAUCACAUCCUGUGGAGGCAGAGACGCUGAUAAGGGAACCGACCCAAUGGGCCUAAAAACCUCCAACAGCCUGAAUCUACCUGCAGAAACAUUGAACCUGUUUCAUAGUUGAGCUCAGUGAGGUUUCUGUGUUUCUACAGAUCCACCAGGAGGUCAGGUAGCAGUUCACCUUGGAUCAGAACCAGAAGAAACCACAGUCCUGCUGGAGACCCGACCCAGAGGAGGAGGACGGUACCUUGUUGUGGACUGUGGAGAAUCAUCUAAAUUCAGUGUUUAUGAAGUUCUGGAAGGAGGAGCUCUGAAGAAGCUGUAUGAUGAUGAUGGAUAUUAUUGGGGGGGACGAGAUGUGGACGAUAAAUUCAAAAAGUUCAUCAGUAAAAUAUUCUCUGAUAAAUUGUGGAAAGAAUAUGAAGCAAACUUCCCCAAUGAGGUUCAGGAAAUGAUGGAUGAUUUUCUCCGUGUCAAACAUGUGGAUGAAGAUGUUCAGAUCUGCUGCCCAGAGAACCUGAGAGAACAGGCUGAGAAAGAGAAAAACAUUGAAAGGUUCUUUGAUUCAGAGGGAGGAGCUUCCUGGGAUGAUGGACGCAUCAGGAUCUCCAGAGACACACUGAGGUCUUUCUAUGAUCGGAGUCUGAAGACCAUCACCAAUAAGAUCAGGGAAAUAUUAGCCAAAUAUUCCAACAUUGGUUGUAUUGUGUUAGUGGGGGGCUUAGCUGAGAGCCAGAUUCUACGUCAGAACAUCUCUGAUCAGUUUGGAUCUAACUAUAAAGUUCUGUGUCCUCUUAGACCCCAGGAAGCCGUCCUGAAAGGAGCUGUAGAGCUGGGAAGAAACCCAAAGUUGGUUCUUCCUCAGAGAAAAGGUCCAGCCUGCUUCAGAUGUUUUUCAUGACGUCUUUUUCUCUUUCUGGGAUCAGUCUGUCAGGAAGGAGCUGAGAAUAACGAUUCUUUCUGUUAUUGUUGCAGCAAAUAAGCAUCAACUAAAGAUGAGAGGUAGAUCUAGGAAUUAAAACCUUUAUUUUGGUUACAAACAUGCAAGAAUCAAAACAUUUGCACGUUUCCAAAAGU